CUGGUGGCGGCUGCAAUUUCGUCUUGACAUUGAUGUACUAUUUUCCACCGAUAAAAAGGCGUUCAACUUCUCGAUCAAGUCUGGAUGAUAGAGAAAAAGCGGAGGAGCAGAAAGUAGAUAGAGAAAAAGACGACGACAAUAUUUUGGACAGUGAGAAAGUCGACGGCAUAUUGAUACGGAGUAUAGAGAGAAGCAGGAUUGGGGUACGGUUCAAAGUUAGGGUCUUAUUACUUUGGAAGUUUUUGCCUCCGCAUUUUUUCUAGCCGUCAUAUCUAAUCUUGUGUUUUUAAA
RNAcentral lists this long non-coding RNA (291 nucleotides) under Linum usitatissimum (flax). Its description in RNAcentral is "long non-coding RNA (LUSI_LNC004892)". Lineage: Eukaryota; Viridiplantae; Streptophyta; Magnoliopsida; Malpighiales; Linaceae. The record is from RNAcentral.